RNAcentral lists this ribosomal RNA (508 nucleotides) under uncultured bacterium. RNAcentral's name for it is "partial 16S ribosomal RNA". It matches the Rfam family "Bacterial small subunit ribosomal RNA", at positions 28 to 507 of the family's 1533-position model. The record is from RNAcentral.
GGCGAACGCUGGCGGCGUGCCUAAUACAUGCAAGUCGAACGCUUCUUUCCUCCCGAGUGCUUGCACUCAAUUGGAAAGAGGAGUGGCGGACGGGUGAGUAACACGUGGGUAACCUACCCAUCAGAGGGGGAUGACACUUGGAAACAGGUGCUAAUACCGCAUAACAGUUUAUGCCGCAUGGCAUAAGAGUGAAAGGCGCUUUCGGGUGUCGCUGAUGGAUGGACCCGCGGUGCAUUAGCUAGUUGGUGAGGUAACGGCUCACCAAGGCCACGAUGCAUAGCCGACCUGAGAGGGUGAUCGGCCACACUGGGACUGAGACACGGCCCAGACUCCUACGGGAGGCAGCAGUAGGGAAUCUUCGGCAAUGGACGAAAGUCUGACCGAGCAACGCCGCGUGAGUGAAGAAGGUUUUCGGAUCGUAAAACUCUGUUGUUAGAGAAGAACAAGGACGUUAGUAACUGAACGUCCCCUGACGGUAUCUAACCAGAAAGCCACGGCUAACUACGUG